RNAcentral lists this ribosomal RNA (253 nucleotides) under uncultured bacterium. Its description in RNAcentral is "partial 16S ribosomal RNA". It matches the Rfam family "Bacterial small subunit ribosomal RNA", at positions 524 to 776 of the family's 1533-position model. The record is from RNAcentral.
GACGAACCGAGCGAACGUUGUCCGGAAUCACUGGGCUUAAAGGGCGCGUAGGCGGGUGCUCAAGUCCGGGGUGAAAUCCUCCAGCUCAACUGGAGAACUGCCUCGGAUACUGGGUGUCUCGAGUGUGGUAGGGGUAUGCGGAACUAUCGGUGGAGCGGUGAAAUGUGUUGAUAUCGAUAGGAACUCCGGUGGCGAAGGCGGCAUACUGGACCACUACUGACGCUGAUGCGCGAAAGCCAGGGGAGCAAACGGG